Caretta caretta (loggerhead turtle) is the source of this 715-nucleotide long non-coding RNA. RefSeq lists it as uncharacterized. The record is from RefSeq and is a predicted model, not a curated record. NCBI's taxonomy places the organism in Eukaryota, Metazoa, Chordata, Testudines, Cheloniidae.
UAUUAAACUUUCUCUACUCCCACUCAGCAGGGAAAGCCUAGCCCAAGGUAUUGGGAUUCUGCAAGCAUUGUAUCUUGGCUGUUAAGUGACUCACCAGGCUAGAUGGAAAUAGAUGGCUUAACUCUCAAGCCUAUAAGGCACCUGUGCUGGUGGAAAGUGCAGGUUGGUUGACUGACUGGUUCCAAGUGAUGCUCUGCCAAGUCUGGAGGUAGAAGGUGGAAGGAUGCCUCUUGCACAAAAACAAAGUUGCCCCUGAUAGCUGGCUUUUCUAAGACCCAUCUCUCUGCUCUGGUAUCAAACCCGUGGGCUAAGCCAGAAAACCCAGGAAGACCAUUUCUCAACACAACAACAUAGAUUAUGCCAUGGAGAAUGCACUUACCAUGCUCUGGUGGAGUGGUGAUAACUUGUAAUGUCCUAUCUAGCAUGUGUGUGACAGUUGUCUUCUGUUGGAUGGAGAGCCAGGCCUGCUUUAGUGUAAAGAUGUUCAUCUCCUUUUCCAAGAAGCUGCUGUGGAUUGAAUGGAAUAAUUCAGAAAAGGGGAUGGAGGGAUGAGCCCAAAGGAGAGAGGAAGCCAAAAUGGAUGUUGGUGCAAAAAAACACAGCCAUUUUGAAAGCUAUAGGUCAUCCUUCAGCUUUGUGCCAUGGCACUGGUGAGAGACAGAAUGAGACACUCAGGAAACCCCUUUAACUCCAGAUUCAUGUUAAGGUAAGUAGU